UAAGGAAUAUUGGACAAUGGUCGCAAGACUGAUCCAGCCAUGCCGCGUGCAGGAAGACGGCCCUAUGGGUUGUAAACUGCUUUUGUACCAGAGAAAACCUAUCUACGUGUAGAUAGCUGAUAGUAUGGUAGGAAUAAGCACCUGCUAACUCCGUGCCAGCAGCCGCGGUAAUACGGAGGGUGCAAGCGUUAUCCGGAUUCACUGGGUUUAAAGGGUGCGUAGGCGGAUAUGUAAGUCAGUGGUGAAAUCAACGGGCUCAACCUGUUAACUGCCAUUGAUACUGUGUAUCUUGAAUAUGAGAGAGGUAGGCGGAAUGGUGCACGUAGCGGUGAAAUGCUUAGAUAUGCUACGGAACACCGAUUGCGAAGGCAGCUUACUAUUUCGUAAUUGACGCUGAGGCACGAAAGCGUGGGUAGCGAACA
This 422-nucleotide ribosomal RNA is filed under the name uncultured bacterium. RNAcentral's name for it is "bacterial SSU rRNA". It matches the Rfam family "Bacterial small subunit ribosomal RNA", at positions 355 to 774 of the family's 1533-position model. The record is from RNAcentral.